Perognathus longimembris pacificus (Pacific pocket mouse) is the source of this 273-nucleotide long non-coding RNA. RefSeq lists it as uncharacterized. Lineage: Eukaryota; Metazoa; Chordata; Mammalia; Rodentia; Heteromyidae. The transcript has 3 exons. The record is from RefSeq and is a predicted model, not a curated record.
CUGAGGAAUCGAACCUAGGGCUUCAUGCAUGCUAGGCAAGUACUUUACCACUAAACCACAUUCCCAGCCCCAGCAUUCACUUUCAACUGGAAUUAACUUAAACCUUUUUUGGUUUUUUUUGAUGGUCUUGGGGAUUGAAUUUUGCAUCAUUUUUGCUAUUUUUUGUUUAUACAUGAAACCACUUCUCAGAAAACCUUCAACAAUCAAGCUGUGUGUGUGUGUGUGUGUGUCACCAAGCAAAAAUGUGUGUGUGUGUGUGUGUGUGUGUGUGUG